This 190-nucleotide unclassified non-coding RNA is filed under the name uncultured fungus. RNAcentral describes it as "sequence contains ITS1, 5.8S rRNA gene". The record is from RNAcentral. Lineage: Eukaryota; Fungi.
UCGUACAACUGAGGUGCAAAGGCUGUCGCUGACCCCCCAAAGGGGUCGUGCACGCUCGAGCACUCUCACACAAUCCAUCUCACCUUUGUGCAUCACCGCGUGGGUCCCCCUUUGCAGGGAGGGCUUGCGUUUAUCACACAAUACUCAAUACAGUGUAGAAUGUUUCUUUUGCGAUCACACGCAAUCAAUA